RNAcentral lists this ribosomal RNA (284 nucleotides) under uncultured bacterium. RNAcentral describes it as "partial 16S ribosomal RNA". It matches the Rfam family "Bacterial small subunit ribosomal RNA", at positions 524 to 796 of the family's 1533-position model. The record is from RNAcentral.
UACGAAAAGGUGCAAGCGUUGUUCGGAAUAACUGGGCGUAAAAGCGCUCGAGGCGGGGAGUUCAGGUCGAUUGUGAAAAUCCCCAGGGGCUCAACCUUGGAACUGCAGUCGAAAACCGGACUUCUUGAAUACUCGAGAGGGUGGGGGGAAUUCCUAGUGGAGAAGUGAAAAUUCGUAGAGAUUAGGAGGAACACCAGAGGCGAAGGCGCCUACCUGGCGAUGUAUUGACGCUGAGGAGCGAAAAGUGUGGGGGAGCAAAACAGGAUUAGAUACCCGUGUAGUCC